RNAcentral lists this non-coding RNA (322 nucleotides) under Cephalotus follicularis. RNAcentral's name for it is "Bacterial large subunit ribosomal RNA". It matches the Rfam family "Bacterial large subunit ribosomal RNA", at positions 22 to 331 of the family's 2925-position model. The record is from Rfam by way of RNAcentral. Lineage: Eukaryota; Viridiplantae; Streptophyta; Magnoliopsida; Oxalidales; Cephalotaceae.
UGGUGGAUACCUAGGCACCCAGAGAUGAGGUAGGGCAUAGUAAGUGACAAAAUGCUUUGGAGAGUUGAAAAUAAGCGUUGAUCCGGAGAUUCCCGAAUAGGUCAACCUUUCGAACUGUUGUUGAAUCCAUGGGUAGGCAAGAGACAACCUAGCGAACUGAAACAUCUUAGUAACCAGAGGAAAAGGAAGCAAAAGCGAUUCCCAUAGUAGUUUGUCACGAGAGACUUGAAUUGUGAAAGAAACACACACAACCAAAGAUUUAGGAAGAUGGUAGGAAAUAGGUGUGGGAUUAGGGUGAAGUGAAACAUGAGUCUUAAAACCA